Molecule: long non-coding RNA, 601 nt
Filed under: Gadus morhua (Atlantic cod)
Lineage: Eukaryota; Metazoa; Chordata; Actinopteri; Gadiformes; Gadidae
Description: lncRNA (ENSGMOG00000024060.1)
Source: RNAcentral
AGACUGGGAUAUAUUUAAGAUGGCAUGACGUAAGACCGAAGAUGCCAAGUCAUUGUUAUCUGUACAUGCUUUACAGAGUGUGUUUAUCGCAACAAACUCUCUUCUGACUUCCAUGAGUCCUCCCCAUAGGCAGGUAACUAGGAGAGUAGCACGGGAGGAAAGAUCUCAGAGGGACACAACACCUUAUUAAGGCACAUUCGGCAUAGCAACCAAAACUCUCCUUAUACAAGCUGGAUUACAGCUCAUCUAGGUUGAAGCCUUCGAGCAUGGCUUCCACAGUCAGGUCCCUGCUCCUCCUGCUCGUCCUCGUCCACGCAGCCUUCGCUGCUCUACCUGAGACGAAGCCCAGCUACCCAUCCGUUCCGAACCCACCUGCUACCACGGACAUGCCCGGAGACCAACCCACUUCCUCUAAUCAUCAAAAGCGUUUAAAUAGCAUGGCCAGAAAACUGGUAGGUUCAGCGUCAGGGUGGUACGUUAGGACGACUAGGACUUCACUGUUUAAUUUGUAUUGCAUUGAAAAUAACCAUAUUAUAUCACAGAGGGAUGCAUCCGCUACACACCUCCCUAAUAUCUAGUCAGGAAAAUGUCAGGAAGUAUA